Molecule: long non-coding RNA, 248 nt
Organism: Drosophila sulfurigaster albostrigata
Lineage: Eukaryota; Metazoa; Arthropoda; Insecta; Diptera; Drosophilidae
Exons: 2
Source: RefSeq, a predicted model, not a curated record
UUGGCAAUUCUUCCAUAAUGUCAAUAACUACUUGGCAAAACUCUAUUGAUCUGAGAGAGUAGUCAAGCUUCGUUGAGUUUUAGGAUUGAGGAAGAAGCUUUGGCAGUCGAUAGGCCUCGUUUCUGCUGCUGCUGCUGCUUCUCAUAUUUGUGGCAGGAAGCUGCGCAGGGCCCAAUUUAUGGAGCUGCCGUUGCCGUUGUGCCUCACUCGAGGGCCAUCUCCAAUUACUGAUUGCCCGGGUACCACAU